AAAUGGGGAGGGCUUACACAUGCAAGUCGAGGGGUAACAUUGUGCUUGCACAGAUGACGACCGGCGCACGGGUGCGUAACGCGUAUAGAACCUACCUUUUACAGAGGAAUAGCCUUUAGAAAUGAAGAUUAAUGCCUCAUAGUAUUGAGUAAUCGCAUGAUUAUUUAAUUAAAGAUUUAUCGGUAAAAGAUGGCUAUGCGUCCUAUUAGUUAGUUGGUAAGGUAACGGCUUACCAAGACAUCGAUAGGUAGGGGUCCUGAGAGGGAGAUCCCCCACACUGGUACUGAGACACGGACCAGACUCCUACGGGAGGCAGCAGUGAGGAAUAUUGGACAAUGGAGGAGACUCUGAUCCAGCCAUGCCGCGUGUAGGAAGAAUGCCCUAUGGGUUGUAAACUACUUUUAUACAGGAAGAAACACUGGUAUGUAUACCAGCUUGACGGUACUGUAAGAAUAAGGACCGGCUAACUCCGUGCCAGCAGCCGCGGUAAC
RNAcentral lists this ribosomal RNA (491 nucleotides) under uncultured Polaribacter sp. Its description in RNAcentral is "bacterial SSU rRNA". It matches the Rfam family "Bacterial small subunit ribosomal RNA", at positions 39 to 524 of the family's 1533-position model. The record is from RNAcentral. Lineage: Bacteria; Pseudomonadati; Bacteroidota; Flavobacteriia; Flavobacteriales; Flavobacteriaceae.